RNAcentral lists this ribosomal RNA (253 nucleotides) under uncultured bacterium. RNAcentral describes it as "partial 16S ribosomal RNA". It matches the Rfam family "Bacterial small subunit ribosomal RNA", at positions 524 to 776 of the family's 1533-position model. The record is from RNAcentral.
GACGAACUGUCCUAACGUUGUUCGGAAUCACUGGGCUUAAAGGGCGCGUAGGCGGUCCGACAAGUCGGGGGUGAAAUCCUGCAGCUUAACUGCAGAAGUGCCUUCGAUACUGUCGGUCUUGAGGGAGAUAGGGGUGUGCGGAACUUCCAGUGGAGCGGUGAAAUGCGUUGAUAUUGGAAGGAACGCCGGAGGCGAAAGCGGCGCACCGGAUCUCUUCUGACGCUGAGGCGCGAAAGCUAGGGGAGCAAACGGG